AGCAGCCGCGGUAAUUCCAGCUCCAAUAGCGUAUAUUAAAGUUGUUGCAGUUAAAAAGCUCGUAGUUGAAUUUCGGGAUCGACGGGUCGGUCGCGCCUCUGGUGUGUACUGGCCCUGUCGGUUUCUCCCUUCUGACGAACCACGAUGUCAUUAAUUUGGUGUCGUGGGAAAUCAGGACUGUUACUUUGAAAAAAUUAGAGUGUUUAAAGCAGGCAUUCGCUUGAAUACAUUAGCAUGGAAUAAUGAAAUAGGACGUUUGAUCUUAUUUUGUUGGUUUCUAAGAUCGACGUAAUGAUUAAUAGGGAUAGUUGGGGGCAUUAGUAUUCAAUUGUCAGAGGUGAAAUUCUUGGAUUUAUUGAAGACUAACUACUGCGAAAGCAUUUGCCAAGGAUGUUUUC
This 398-nucleotide ribosomal RNA is filed under the name uncultured Glomeromycotina. Its description in RNAcentral is "SSU rRNA". It matches the Rfam family "Eukaryotic small subunit ribosomal RNA", at positions 569 to 971 of the family's 1831-position model. The record is from RNAcentral. Lineage: Eukaryota; Fungi; Glomeromycota.